This 563-nucleotide long non-coding RNA is filed under the name Anser brachyrhynchus (Pink-footed goose). RNAcentral's name for it is "lncRNA (ENSABRG00000012988.1)". Lineage: Eukaryota; Metazoa; Chordata; Aves; Anseriformes; Anatidae. The record is from RNAcentral.
UUUUGACCUCAGUGGAGCAUUUCACCUCCAGCAGCUGUGUAAUUAACUGGAAUGAGUGUUAGACCGCUUGUACUUUCUUCAUUGCUAUUAGUGUUAAGUACGGACUCUGGCUGCUGUAUCACAAAGGAUCAUAGGCAAUUGCCAUAACCAGCCUAUCUGCUAUCUUUUCAAGUUCAAGGAGUCUUCUCAGCAUAGUGAUUUCCGGGGAUAUAGACACUCUUGGCAAUUGGAGGGGGAAGGUGAAUUACUUUUGCACUUUUUGUUUUAAAUUAACAGGAUCAGUUCAGGAAAUGGUUGACUCAGUUGCUAGUCCAUGAGAGACGCCCAUUUAAUAGGAAAUCAUAUUUCAGAAAGAUUAUCUUCAGACCGUGAGGUGCAUGUUCUUCAAAAUGAUAUUCAUAUUCCAGGAAGAAAAGUCUCGUCUGCUAUACUGAAUAGAGCAUACAACACUCACAGAUGGCACACAUACAGAGUCUGCAUGAUAAUCCAUUUACAGAAAAUACCACAGCCACUGCACUUAAAUGCCAUUUGAAAGAGGGACAAAGUUCACAUCACAGUGAGUA